Clupea harengus (Atlantic herring) is the source of this 655-nucleotide long non-coding RNA. RefSeq lists it as uncharacterized. The transcript is spliced from 3 exons. NCBI's taxonomy places the organism in Eukaryota, Metazoa, Chordata, Actinopteri, Clupeiformes, Clupeidae. The record is from RefSeq and is a predicted model, not a curated record.
UGGGUGUACACUGAUGUGAAUCAUAGGACGUAGGAGACAUAUGAAACAGGAUGUCAUAUGAAACAGGAGGACAUAUAAACACUGCAAAAGCAAAGUACUUUUUUUCAGAAGGGCAUUUGAGAAAGAUUUUUAUAUACUAUUUUUGAGACCUAAAAUCAUGAUGUGGCUGUUCCGUUUGGCUCUCUGCUUGAUCUCAGUGAUGUUUGAAGAUGGCGUCACAGCAACUAACACACCAGAACAUUGUUCAACUGUCUGCCCUUGGGACAAUAAAUAUCACUGCAAAGAGAAGUCAGAAGACUUGAAAAUUCACAAAACAGUUUAUCCUUGCCCUCCUGGGAUAUGUUUUGUGAGAGGAAGAGAUGGUAUCUUCAGAAGCUCAACAGAUAAGGGCUGCAAUGAAUGCUGCUGGUCAUAUGAAGUAAAUGGAACGAUGUUAGAAUGUACGAGUAAGGUUCAUCCCACUUGCUGGUCCAAUGAGACACGUGUCCAUGGUGAAUAUGCUUACUCCCUCACCCUUUUCAUUUCUUCUUGUACUCAGUGGUUAAAUUAGUCUAAUAUGUUUAUAAUAUUGGAUUCUAUGGCUUUUGUCUACAGCAGUAAUCGCUGCAAGUUUGUAGCUAGCACUAGAAGGAGGUCCCAGUAAACAUCUUAGUUG